Molecule: long non-coding RNA, 456 nt
Organism: Neopsephotus bourkii (Bourke's parrot)
Lineage: Eukaryota; Metazoa; Chordata; Aves; Psittaciformes; Psittacidae
Exons: 3
Source: RefSeq, a predicted model, not a curated record
UUGACCUGGAAAGCAAAAGAACAUACUUAAAAUGCUAGGCAGGGCAGGGACUGUCUGUUGUACUGUGCCCUGUUGGAUUGUAUCCUGCUGCUGAGAGCGGGCUCUCCUGGAGCCAGAGGCACCCCCGGGGAACCAGGAGCCACAGGAAGCAGCUGAAGAAAAAGUGCAUCGCAAGCAGUUCGCCUUCCCCUUGCAGCAGAGCCUUGCACCAAGGGAGGGCAGGAGCCUUCAGAAGGAUGCACUUCCAUACCUGCAGGCCUGUUCUGCAGAAGGUGCAUUACAGAUGAAGUGCCAACAGUCUGUAGGAAACAAAGGAAAAGUUUUUUAUGGUGCUUCCUCCCAGGGUUAGAGAAGAAGCCAUUGUAACCUGAAGGUCAAGAGUGACAGAAGACAUUCAUCCUUACACUUAAAUAUGGCUUAAAUCAAGAAGAAAUGCCUUUUUUUUUAUUUUUUUUU